Molecule: transfer RNA, 87 nt
Filed under: Armillaria gallica
Lineage: Eukaryota; Fungi; Basidiomycota; Agaricomycetes; Agaricales; Physalacriaceae
Rfam family: tRNA
About the family: Transfer RNA (tRNA) molecules are approximately 80 nucleotides in length.
Source: Rfam by way of RNAcentral
GCCCGCCUAGCUCAAUCGGAUAGAGCGUCAGACUUUUAUCUAGGCGAAUGGAUCUGAAGGCUGCGAGUUCGACCCUCGCGGUGGGCU